RNAcentral lists this long non-coding RNA (254 nucleotides) under Bos taurus (domestic cattle). RNAcentral describes it as "long non-coding RNA NONBTAT026523". The record is from RNAcentral. Lineage: Eukaryota; Metazoa; Chordata; Mammalia; Artiodactyla; Bovidae.
AUACAAACUUGUAAUGGUGUGCUUCAAACAAAUGCUAGACCCUUUCACCUUUGUUGUAUAUAACAAAGCUGUUAAAUAUGUGGUUUGAAUUAACUUUGAACAUGUUGAAAUAUGUAGCAUGUGUUUUUAACUCAGACGAAGAUUCUAAUUGCACAGGUUGUGUUCUAGCCAGUUGUGGUUUAUUUGUUCAGAAACACAAAUGUGAAUUGCACUCUUAUCACCAGAAUAUUGUAUAAGUUCAGCGAUCUCUAAAC